CGCUGCUUCCUUGGUUUAGUGUUGCCUGUGUUGUGCCCGAAAGCAGUGUUGUAUAUUUUAUUGCGCUGUGCCCGUAAUCAUUGAGUGACCGCCCUGUGCAUGUGUUGACGCGUCAGGAAGGGAGUGUUGCGUCUCCAGGAGGGUCUUCCCCUUCCGAGUUGCGUCUGCGCUUGCUUCCUUCGUCAGGCACCUCCCGCCUCACUCCUUGCUUCCUCCCGUCUCCCAGAGUCUACACACCUGCACUCUUGAGGCAGGAGUAAGUGGACCUGCUGGUGGACUACAGGCUGAACACUUCCUGCCUUCAAUUCGCAUACACUCCUCACCUCUUCUGGUGCCUAUAUUUACCCAGUCCUUCCCUGCACACACCACAGCCAAUAUGAAUUAACACAUAAAUGCCAAUAUCCUUCCUUUUAUUAAUCCCUCACUGUGUUUCCAGGGUGAGUACUUCCCAGACCAUCCAGUCACUCGCACGUGUUGGGAAGUCUUUCGCAAGCUCUCGCUGGAACAGAAAAUGUUUUUAAGUUUCUGACGGGGACUCACCAGGUGUACUAGGCAUGAGAGAGAGAGAGAGAGAGAGAGAGAGAGAGAGAGAGAGAGAGAGAGAGAGAGAGAGAGAGAGAGAGAGAGAGAGAGAGAGAG
This is a long non-coding RNA of Scylla paramamosain (green mud crab), 639 nucleotides long. RefSeq lists it as uncharacterized. The transcript has 4 exons. The record is from RefSeq and is a predicted model, not a curated record. Lineage: Eukaryota; Metazoa; Arthropoda; Malacostraca; Decapoda; Portunidae.